RNAcentral lists this transfer RNA (74 nucleotides) under Dryococelus australis. RNAcentral describes it as "tRNA-OTHER". It matches the Rfam family "tRNA". Rfam says of the family: Transfer RNA (tRNA) molecules are approximately 80 nucleotides in length. The record is from RNAcentral. Lineage: Eukaryota; Metazoa; Arthropoda; Insecta; Phasmatodea; Phasmatidae.
GGCCCGUUAGCUCAGUUGGUUAGAGCGUCGUGCUAAUAACGCGAAGGUCGUGGGUUCGAUCCCCCCAAAGGCCA